RNAcentral lists this long non-coding RNA (485 nucleotides) under Ananas comosus (pineapple). Its description in RNAcentral is "long non-coding RNA (ACOM_LNC001531)". Lineage: Eukaryota; Viridiplantae; Streptophyta; Magnoliopsida; Poales; Bromeliaceae. The record is from RNAcentral.
AAAUUUUAAAUUAUUUUAAUUUCUGGUUUGAGCUUUUUGAAUCUUUAUAAUUAAGUACCACGACACAAUUUAGUUGAGCAAAUAUUGGUGUGUUACUAAUUUGGAACUAAUGUGGCAUUUUAGUCACUCUCGUAACAUCAAUCACGAUAUCGCCACAUCUCCUCCACAUUAAUGAUACAUUAAAUGUUUUACUGAAAGUAGAGAGAAAGUGAAAUAGUUUUCCGCCACAACUGUCUAUUUUUGUUAUUUAGUCCGUUCGUAACUUUAUUUUUGGCGGAAAUUCAAACUUUCCAAACUAAUGUACGCAAGCCGAAAUAAAUUACAAAAGAAAAAGAGAAAAGAUUAAUGAAAUAUCAACCCAUCUCUCACACCUCCGGCUUUUACAUCAUUCACUUUUCGUUAAACAAACAGCAAAACUAGGAGAACUUUAGUUGCACAGCUAAGUUUUACUCGAAGUCACUGGUUCGCCUGAAAGUAUAUUAUGA